This is a long non-coding RNA of Populus euphratica (Euphrates poplar), 352 nucleotides long. RefSeq lists it as uncharacterized. The transcript has 3 exons. NCBI's taxonomy places the organism in Eukaryota, Viridiplantae, Streptophyta, Magnoliopsida, Malpighiales, Salicaceae. The record is from RefSeq and is a predicted model, not a curated record.
GCUGAUUGCGUAACUUACCCAAAUCUGUUGUAGUUGAGCAGACAUAGGUUCAAACCAACUUAAUUCAGUACAGACAUUUCAGGUUUAUUCAGUUCAGCUAAACUGUUCAUGGAAUCCAACUUAUUACUUACUUCUUGACAGUAAAGGUAAUCAAUGGCGUCACGGCCAGGCUUUCCUUUAUAUGUUCUUGUAAUUGAUUUGCCAUAUGCUUUUAGUGAUCUUUACAACAAAAUUUCCAUACAUAUAGUUUUUUUCCUUAAGGAGACAGUGACACUGUGGCAAGACUAAUGAUUCAUUGUCCAAAGUUCAAGGGCAACCAGUGUGAUAGCUAGGUGCAGAUUAAAGUGACAAC